Molecule: unclassified non-coding RNA, 342 nt
Filed under: soil metagenome
Description: partial contains 5.8S ribosomal RNA, internal transcribed spacer 2, and large subunit ribosomal RNA
Rfam family: 5.8S ribosomal RNA (bases 1-120)
Source: RNAcentral
GAUGAAGAACGUAGCAAAAUGCGAUAAGUAAUGUGAAUUGCAGAAUUCAGUGAAUCAUCGAAUCUUUGAACGCACAUUGCGCCCGCCAGCAUUCUGGCGGGCAUGCCUGUUCGAGCGUCAUUUCAACCCUCGAGCCCCCCCGGGGGCCUCGGUGUUGGGGGACGGCACACCAGCCGCCCCCGAAAUGCAGUGGCGACCCCGCCGCAGCCUCCCCUGCGUAGUAGCACACACCUCGCACCGGAGCGCGGAGGCGGUCACGCCGUAAAACGCCCAACUUUCUUAGAGUUGACCUCGGAUCAGGUAGGAAUACCCGCUGAACUUAAGCAUAUCAAAAGCGGAGGA